RNAcentral lists this ribosomal RNA (465 nucleotides) under Vreelandella stevensii. Its description in RNAcentral is "partial 16S ribosomal RNA". It matches the Rfam family "Bacterial small subunit ribosomal RNA", at positions 338 to 795 of the family's 1533-position model. Lineage: Bacteria; Pseudomonadati; Pseudomonadota; Gammaproteobacteria; Oceanospirillales; Halomonadaceae. The record is from RNAcentral.
CCUACGGGGGGCUGCAGUGGGGAAUAUUGGACAAUGGGGGCAACCCUGAUCCAGCCAUGCCGCGUGUGUGAAGAAGGCCCUCGGGUUGUAAAGCACUUUCAGUGAGGAAGAACGCCUGGUGGUUAAUACCCAUCAGGAAAGACAUCACUCACAGAAGAAGCACCGGCUAACUCCGUGCCAGCAGCCGCGGUAAUACGGAGGGUGCGAGCGUUAAUCGGAAUUACUGGGCGUAAAGCGCGCGUAGGUGGCUUGAUAAGCCGGUUGUGAAAGCCCCGGGCUCAACCUGGGAACGGCAUCCGGACCUGUCAAGCUAGAGUGCAGGAGAGGAAGGUAGAAUUCCCGGGGUAGCGGUGAAAUGCGUAGAGAUCGGGAGGAAUACCAGUGGCGAAGGCGGCCUUCUGGACUGACACUGACACUGAGGUGCGAAAGCGUGGGUAGCAAACAGGAUUAGAUACCCUGGUAGUC